RNAcentral lists this ribosomal RNA (465 nucleotides) under Vreelandella stevensii. Its description in RNAcentral is "partial 16S ribosomal RNA". It matches the Rfam family "Bacterial small subunit ribosomal RNA", at positions 338 to 795 of the family's 1533-position model. Lineage: Bacteria; Pseudomonadati; Pseudomonadota; Gammaproteobacteria; Oceanospirillales; Halomonadaceae. The record is from RNAcentral.
CCUACGGGCGGCAGCAGUGGGGAAUAUUGGACAAUGGGGGCAACCCUGAUCCAGCCAUGCCGCGUGUGUGAAGAAGGCCCUCGGGUUGUAAAGCACUUUCAGUGAGGAAGAACGCCUGGUGGUUAAUACCCAUCAGGAAAGACAUCACUCACAGAAGAAGCACCGGCUAACUCCGUGCCAGCAGCCGCGGUAAUACGGAGGGUGCGAGCGUUAAUCGGAAUUACUGGGCGUAAAGCGCGCGUAGGUGGCUUGAUAAGCCGGUUGUGAAAGCCCCGGGCUCAACCUGGGAACGGCAUCCGGAACUGUCAAGCUAGAGGGCAGGAGAGGAAGGUAGAAUUCCCGGUGGAGCGGUGAAAUGCGUAGAGAUCGGGAGGAAUACCAGUGGCGAAGGCGGCCUUCUGGACUGACACUGACACUGAGGUGCGAAAGCGUGGGUAGCCAACAGGAUUAGAUACCCGUGUAGUC